CAGCAGAGAUGUUUCUGUACCUUCCCAGAUUUGUGCCUCCAGGCAAGCCUGCCUCAGAGGUCUACAGACAAUUCCUUUGACUUCAUGCUUGGUUUGUGCUCUGACUGUCAGCUGUGGGACCUUCUAUUUAGACGGAGGACAAACCAAGAG
Molecule: long non-coding RNA, 150 nt
Organism: Thalassophryne amazonica
Lineage: Eukaryota; Metazoa; Chordata; Actinopteri; Batrachoidiformes; Batrachoididae
Exons: 3
Source: RefSeq, a predicted model, not a curated record